This 29-nucleotide small RNA is filed under the name Bombyx mori (domestic silkworm). RNAcentral's name for it is "ovarian small RNA-35420". Lineage: Eukaryota; Metazoa; Arthropoda; Insecta; Lepidoptera; Bombycidae. The record is from RNAcentral.
UGUACUUGAUUACCGACGCCAAAAAAUUG